This is a long non-coding RNA of Ostrea edulis (European flat oyster), 1227 nucleotides long. RefSeq lists it as uncharacterized. The transcript is spliced from 3 exons. The record is from RefSeq and is a predicted model, not a curated record. NCBI's taxonomy places the organism in Eukaryota, Metazoa, Mollusca, Bivalvia, Ostreida, Ostreidae.
AAGAUAACAAACAGUGAUCAAUCUCAUAACUCCUAUAAGCAAUACAAAAUAGAGAGUUGGGCAAACACAAACCACUGGAUAUACCAGAGGUGGGAUCAGGUGUCUUUUUUAAUUUCUAAAGGUGUAUUUGUUAAGUUACUAUAUUCCUAAACGGGAAUCGUAUGAAAGCCGAUUCUUUUAUCAUACGAACUUGACCUACAACGUGUUGACAUUGACUUUGAUCUCACUGAUAGAAAAUCUAUAUCUUGAAUAAUUCAAAAAUAGAAUUUGACGUUGGACCUUAUCCCCGAAAAUGACCAGAUACGAAAUCUUUAUCUUGUCUACGUGUAGCUUAAAACGUAUAUACAAGCAAAUAAAGAAAUCAGAGAUAAUAAGUUAAGGUCGUCAGUCUGGGGAAGAUGGAUUUGGGAAUACAAAAAGCAUUUGACACACUUUACCGCCAAGCCAAUAAUCACAAGCAAGGGCGCCGUUUUGAGGAACAUUUGGUUCUUCAAUACAUUUCUGAAUAACUGAAGAACGUUUUCAAUUAAUAAUGAAACCAACGACGACUAUUUUGGAUCCAUUGCGCACCGAUCCAAGGUCACAAUCAAACUCACACUGACUUCCAUAUUUUGCUCCCCAAGGACAGGUGACACUCAGAAAAGGCGUAGGGUGAAUAAUUGGACAUGUCAACACUACAAAAUUCCAAUUUUAAAAGUCAUCUAACAAAACAAUAUUUGACGAGAACGUCCUUUGUUGAUAUUGUAAAUAUUGUUAUUCAAUCAUGUAAUUAUGUAAUUUCAGCUAUUGCAAUUUUCCACUACCCUUGAUUUUUUUCAUAGCUUGAUAUGAUAUUUUCAUGUUUCCACACAAAACUGUUUAAUUUUUCUUACGAAAUGUUUGGUAUAUGUACCUUUAAUGAUGACGUUAGUUACACAGCUCUGCGCUUGGUUUCCUGCGGCGUCUGUAGCUUUGUAUAUUAUUUUAUAACUUCCUGCUGGGAGUCUGUCGCCUGGCGAUACACUCCCCACCUUUACAACAUUAACAACACCGUCAUGGUUAUCCAGGGCGGUAGGUUCUGACCAUGUUACCACACCUGUAGUCGAAUUUCUGUCCGCAAAACCGUACACUGUGUGUGAGCAGUUCAUAAGUUUAGGAGGGUCAAUAUCUGAAAUAUUAGAAUUACAUUUCAGUUUAUUGUAUCUAUUCCAAUACUAUGUUUACAAUAAUAAAUGUAUGCUAUAUGUA